GACGGCCUUCGGGUUGUAAACCUCUUUUAGCAGGGAAGAAGCGUGAGUGACGGUACCUGCAGAAAAAGCGCCGGCUAACUACGUGCCAGCAGCCGCGGUAAUACGUAGGGCGCAAGCGUUAUCCGGAAUUAUUGGGCGUAAAGAGCUCGUAGGCGGUUUGUCGCGUCUGCUGUGAAAUCCCGAGGCUCAACCUCGGGCCUGCAGUGGGUACGGGCAGACUAGAGUGCGGUAGGGGAGAUUGGAAUUCCUGGUGUAGCGGUGGAAUGCGCAGAUAUCAGGAGGAACACCGAUGGCGAAGGCAGAUCUCUGGGCCGUAACUGACGCUGAGGAGCGAAAGGGUGGGGAGCAAACAGGCUUAGAUACCCUGGUAGUCCACCCCGUAAACGUUGGGAACUAGUUGUGGGGACCAUUCCACGGUUUCCGUGACGCAGCUAACGCAUUAAGUUCCCCGCCUGGGGAGUACGGCC
Molecule: ribosomal RNA, 467 nt
Filed under: Microbacterium resistens
Lineage: Bacteria; Bacillati; Actinomycetota; Actinomycetes; Micrococcales; Microbacteriaceae
Description: bacterial SSU rRNA
Rfam family: Bacterial small subunit ribosomal RNA
Source: RNAcentral